GGGUUGUGAGGUUAAGCGACUAAGCGUACACGGUGGAUGCCCUGGCAGUCAGAGGCGAUGAAGGACGUGCUAAUCUGCGAAAAGCGUCGGUAAGGUGAUAUGAACCGUUAUAACCGGCGAUGUCCGAAUGGGGAAACCCAGUGCAAUUCGUUGCACUAUCGUUAACUGAAUACAUAGGUUAACGAGGCGAACCGGGGGAACUGAAACAUCUAAGUACCCCGAGGAAAAGAAAUCAACCGAGAUUCCCCCAGUAGCGGCGAGCGAACGGGGAGCAGCCCAGAGUCUGAAUCAGCUUGUGUGUUAGUGGAACGGUCUGGAAAGUCCGACGGUACAGGGUGAUAGUCCCGUACACCAAAAUGCACAGGCUGUGAACUCGAAGAGUAGGGCGGGACACGUGGUAUCCUGUCUGAAUAUGGGGGGACCAUCCUCCAAGGCUAAAUACUCCUGACUGACCGAUAGUGAACCAGUACCGUGAGGGAAAGGCGAAAAGAACCCCGGCGAGGGGAGUGAAAAAGAACCUGAAACCGUGUACGUACAAGCAGUGGGAGCACCUUCGGGUGUGACUGCGUACCUUUUGUAUAAUGGGUCAGCGACUUAUAUUCUGUAGCAAGGUUAACCGUAUAGGGGAGCCGCAGGGAAACCGAGUCUUAACUGGGCGUUAAGUUGCAGGGUAUAGACCCGAAACCCGGUGAUCUAGCCAUGGGCAGGUUGAAGGUUGGGUAACACUAACUGGAGGACCGAACCGACUAAUGUUGAAAAAUUAGCGGAUGACUUGUGGCUGGGGGUGAAAGGCCAAUCAAACCGGGAGAUAGCUGGUUCUCCCCGAAAGCUAUUUAGGUAGCGCCUCGUGAACUCAUCUUCGGGGGUAGAGCACUGUUUCGGCUAGGGGGUCAUCCCGACUUACCAACCCGAUGCAAACUACGAAUACCGAAGAAUGUUAUCACGGGAGACACACGGCGGGUGCUAACGUCCGUCGUGAAGAGGGAAACAACCCAGACCGCCAGCUAAGGUCCCAAAGUCAUGGUUAAGUGGGAAACGAUGUGGGAAGGCACAGACAGCCAGGAUGUUGGCUUAGAAGCAGCCAUCAUUUAAAGAAAGCGUAAUAGCUCACUGGUCGAGUCGGCCUGCGCGGAAGAUGUAACGGGGCUAAACCAUGCACCGAAGCUGCGGCAGCGACACUAUGUGUUGUUGGGUAGGGGAGCGUUCUGUAAGCCUGCGAAGGUGUGCUGUGAGGCAUGCUGGAGGUAUCAGAAGUGCGAAUGCUGACAUAAGUAACGAUAAAGCGGGUGAAAAGCCCGCUCGCCGGAAGACCAAGGGUUCCUGUCCAACGUUAAUCGGGGCAGGGUGAGUCGACCCCUAAGGCGAGGCCGAAAGGCGUAGUCGAUGGGAAACAGGUUAAUAUUCCUGUACUUGGUGUUACUGCGAAGGGGGGACGGAGAAGGCUAUGUUAGCCGGGCGACGGUUGUCCCGGUUUAAGCAUGUAGGCUGGUUGUCCAGGCAAAUCCGGAUAAUCAAGGCUGAGGUGUGAUGACGAGGCACUACGGUGCUGAAGUAACAAAUGCCCUGCUUCCAGGAAAAGCCUCUAAGCAUCAGGUAACAUCAAAUCGUACCCCAAACCGACACAGGUGGUCAGGUAGAGAAUACCAAGGCGCUUGAGAGAACUCGGGUGAAGGAACUAGGCAAAAUGGUGCCGUAACUUCGGGAGAAGGCACGCUGGUGUGUAGGUGAAGUCCCUGCGGAUGGAGCUGAGACCAGUCGAAGAUACCAGCUGGCUGCAACUGUUUAUUAAAAACACAGCACUGUGCAAACACGAAAGUGGACGUAUACGGUGUGACGCCUGCCCGGUGCCGGAAGGUUAAUUGAUGGGGUUAUCCGUAAGGAGAAGCUCUUGAUCGAAGCCCCGGUAAACGGCGGCCGUAACUAUAACGGUCCUAAGGUAGCGAAAUUCCUUGUCGGGUAAGUUCCGACCUGCACGAAUGGCGUAAUGAUGGCCAGGCUGUCUCCACCCGAGACUCAGUGAAAUUGAACUCGCUGUGAAGAUGCAGUGUACCCGCGGCAAGACGGAAAGACCCCGUGAACCUUUACUAUAGCUUGACACUGAACAUUGAGCCUUGAUGUGUAGGAUAGGUGGGAGGCUUUGAAGCGUGGACGCCAGUCUGCGUGGAGCCAACCUUGAAAUACCACCCUUUAAUGUUUGAUGUUCUAACGUUGGCCCCUUACCGGGGUUGCGGACAGUGUCUGGUGGGUAGUUUGACUGGGGCGGUCUCCUCCCAAAGCGUAACGGAGGAGCACGAAGGUUAGCUAAUCCUGGUCGGACAUCAGGAGGUUAGUGCAAUGGCAUAAGCUAGCUUGACUGCGAGCGUGACGGCGCGAGCAGGUGCGAAAGCAGGUCAUAGUGAUCCGGUGGUUCUGAAUGGAAGGGCCAUCGCUCAACGGAUAAAAGGUACUCCGGGGAUAACAGGCUGAUACCGCCCAAGAGUUCAUAUCGACGGCGGUGUUUGGCACCUCGAUGUCGGCUCAUCACAUCCUGGGGCUGAAGUAGGUCCCAAGGGUAUGGCUGUUCGCCAUUUAAAGUGGUACGCGAGCUGGGUUUAGAACGUCGUGAGACAGUUCGGUCCCUAUCUGCCGUGGGCGCUGGAGAAUUGAGGGGGGCUGCUCCUAGUACGAGAGGACCGGAGUGGACGCAUCACUGGUGUUCGGGUUGUCAUGCCAAUGGCACUGCCCGGUAGCUAAAUGCGGAAGAGAUAAGUGCUGAAAGCAUCUAAGCACGAAACUUGCCCCGAGAUGAGUUCUCCCUGAGACUUUAAGUCUCCUGAAGGAACGUUGAAGACGAUGACGUUGAUAGGCCGGGUGUGUAAGCGCAGCGAUGCGUUGAGCUAACCGGUACUAAUGAACCGUGAGGCUUAACCUUACAACGCCGAAG
RNAcentral lists this ribosomal RNA (2923 nucleotides) under Klebsiella pneumoniae. Its description in RNAcentral is "23S ribosomal RNA". It matches the Rfam family "Bacterial large subunit ribosomal RNA". The record is from RNAcentral. Lineage: Bacteria; Pseudomonadati; Pseudomonadota; Gammaproteobacteria; Enterobacterales; Enterobacteriaceae.